AACGAACGCUGGCGGCAGGCCUAACACAUGCAAGUCGAGCGAGGACUUCGGUUCUAGCGGCGGACGGGUGAGUAACGCGUGGGAAUGUGCCCUUCUCUACGGAAUAGCCCUGGGAAACUGGGAGUAAUACCGUAUACGCCCUAUUGGGGAAAGAUUUAUCGGAGAAGGAUCAGCCCGCGUUGGAUUAGGUAGUUGGUGGGGUAAUGGCCUACCAAGCCGACGAUCCAUAGCUGGUUUGAGAGGAUGAUCAGCCACACUGGGACUGAGACACGGCCCAGACUCCUACGGGAGGCAGCAGUGGGGAGUCUUAGACAAUGGGGGCAACCCUGAUCUAGCCAUGCCGCGUGAGUGAUGAAGGCCUUAGGGUUGUAAAGCUCUUUCAGCUGGGAAGAUAAUGACGGUACCAGCAGAAGAAGCCCCGGCUAACUCCGUG
Molecule: ribosomal RNA, 433 nt
Filed under: uncultured bacterium
Lineage: Bacteria
Description: partial 16S ribosomal RNA
Rfam family: Bacterial small subunit ribosomal RNA
Source: RNAcentral